This is a long non-coding RNA of Carassius auratus (goldfish), 1771 nucleotides long. NCBI's taxonomy places the organism in Eukaryota, Metazoa, Chordata, Actinopteri, Cypriniformes, Cyprinidae. The record is from Ensembl.
UGAAUGUCUGUGGAAAACAGCUUUUAGUGAAAAAUUUCUAUACAAGUACAGUAUCACAAAAGAACAUUUUUAAUGAUUUUAAAAUACGUUUUAAAUGAACACAAAAUGCAAUGUAAAUGCAUGCACAACUAAUAACUAAUAUCAUCACGCUAUAAAGGGUUGGCCUGCGCUGGCCGCGCCCCUCCCCCUAUUCUGUUCUGUCUCCUGGAGGAGCUCAUUUGUAUGAAUCUGUGUGAAACACGCAUAGGAAAAAAGAACGAUAGAAAGAACGGCUCCUCUCCAGUCGCGACUCGGCUCCCAUCGUUCAUGUUUAUGAGCCGUUCAAAAGAAUCGGUUCGUUCGCGAACGUCACAACUCUACAGAGCAUCCAGUUUGCAAGAGCGCGAAGAUGGCAAGAAGAGCGUUUGUUUUGCAGUGUAAACACACUGUUAAUGACUGCACUCGCCUUUUACUGUCUGAUAAUCCCGGGCCUGCUGUUUUUCAGUCAUCAUUAAACAGACUUCAAACCAUGCUGAGGAGCCUGGAAUGGGCAAAGGGGACUCUUUUACAUACUCAGGCAGCAGAUGAGAUCAUCCAUGAAGUAUCAGAUUUUAUUCAGGAGAUUCAAACUUCUGAACCAAGAGCACAGGGGGGUAUUCCAAAAAGCAGGUUAUGUGACAUACCUGGGUAUGUAUAAGGGUAAGUUCGUGGAUAACCUCAACGUUCGGUUCCAAAAACAGAGGUCACUUUCUGGGUAUGUAUGUAACCAUAGCAACUGACUCUCUGAAGAUAACCUGCUCGAGAGCAGGUUAUGUUUCAGUGUAACUUCGUUUCAGAAGGUUGGUGAGCAUGGCGUGCCCUUUUGACGAGGAUCCUGUGGACGUUGAAGCACAAAUUAUACGAGGUUUUUUUCAUCGGGAGAGGGUUAUAAGACCGCGUAUUGAUGUGUUUGCUUACCCUAAUGAAUAUUUAAAAGCGUUAUCGUUUUUCAAAAGAUUCAUUAGUUUAUUUAACACGUCUUUUAAAACCGCAUAUCGCAAAUGUGACAAACCGCGGCUCUGCGCUUAGCACAGAAAACAUUCUGUGCAUAGCACUUAGGUUUUUUGCGUCUGGCCAUUUUUUGUACAGUGUGGGCGAUUCAGAGCAUGUGGGAAAGGCAACUGUGUGUAGAGCCGUUCGUACAGUGUGUCUGGCACUUAAACAGUUGUUACCCACGUUUGUACAGUUCCCUGGCCAUAAACCUCUGCUUGUUAUUAAAGACGAAUUCCACAGAGUGGCAGGUUUGUCCUUUGUAGUAAAAUAUGACGCAUAUUUAAUAUUUAGUCAUAUUAUUAAUAUCUAUACAUGUAUUCCUUAUGCACACACUUCAUACUUCCAAAACUUUCUGUUUCAGGGUUUCCAAAUGUAAUUGGGUGCAUUGAUGGCACUCACAUUCCUAUUAAAGCUCCAUCAAUAAAUGAGGGAGACUAUGUUAAUAGGAAAUCUAUUCAUAGUAUCAAUGUGCAGGUAACAACUUAAUUUUUUCCCCUUCUUAAAAUCAUCAAAGUCAUUACUUUUUCCACUAACUAUAGGUAAUAUGUGAGGCAACCCAAAUCAUCACCAAUGUCGAGGCAAAAUGGCCAGGAUCUGUGCAUGAUGCCAGAAUUUUCCGCGAGUCAUCAUUAUGCCAGACAUUUCAGCAGGGUAUGAUUUGCUUUAUACAAUUUUUGUUUUUUCGUUUUUACUAUAUUUGUGUUGUACACUUCAAUCAUUACAGGACAGUACAAUGGUUACUUGCUGGGGGACAGAGGAU